This 1340-nucleotide small RNA is filed under the name uncultured Candidatus Solibacter sp. RNAcentral's name for it is "bacterial SSU rRNA". The stretch from base 1 to 489 matches the Rfam family "Bacterial small subunit ribosomal RNA", at positions 1045 to 1533 of the family's 1533-position model. Lineage: Bacteria; Pseudomonadati; Acidobacteriota; Terriglobia; Bryobacterales; Solibacteraceae. The record is from RNAcentral.
AUGGCUGUCGUCAGCUCGUGUCGUGAGAUGUUGGGUUAAGUCCCGCAACGAGCGCAACCCCUGUCCUGUGUUGCCGUCAUUAAGUUGGGAACUCGCAGGAGACCGCCAGCGAUAAGCUGGAGGAAGGUGGGGAUGACGUCAAGUCCUCAUGGCCUUUAUGUCCAGGGCUACACACGUGCUACAAUGGACGGUACAGAGCGCCGCAAACCCGCGAGGGGGAGCCAAUCGCAAAAAACCGUUCUCAGUUCGGAUUGCAGGCUGCAACUCGCCUGCAUGAAGCUGGAAUCGCUAGUAAUGGCAGAUCAGCACGCUGCCGUGAAUACGUUCCCGGGCCUUGUACACACCGCCCGUCACAUCACGAAAGUGGAUUGUACUAGAAGUCUGCAGGCUGACCCGCAAGGGGGGCAGCGGCCCAAGGUAUGAUCCAUGAUUGGGGUGAAGUCGUAACAAGGUAGCCGUAGGAGAACCUGCGGCUGGAUCACCUCCUUCCUAAGAGAGACCGUGGAUGGAGUUUCUGAAAGCCAAAAGCGCUUGAGUGUACAGCGUGGGCAAGUAGGGGGCAGUCGUUCCAUUCCAUAAACCGCCACUGAUUCUUCGGAAUUAGUGGUGAGCACGCUACCGGAUCUCCACUUAGAGCAUAUGGGAGUGAAUCUGAAAGUGGUUGAGGGUUUGAUAUCCUUGGCCCCUGUAUCCAACUGGCCUCGAUUAAAUCUCGAAGGCGGCGCCGCGGCAACGCGCCGCCACCCAAAAAAAGGGGCUGUAGCUCAGCUGGGAGAGCGCCUGAUUUGCACUCAGGAGGUCGCCGGUUCGAUCCCGACCAGCUCCACCAGUGUUGGGACGGCAGUGUCAACCGCUGGGCCCGUAGCUCAGAUGGCUAGAGCGCACCCCUGAUAAGGGUGAGGUCGAUGGUUCGAUUCCAUCUGGGCCCACCAUGCCAACCAAAUUGCGGCAAAAUUGCAGGAACGCCGGGCAAUACAUCAGCAAUAAGUUGAAGCGAAGACCGAUUCGCUUGAACUGAUUGCUGAGGCAAUCGAGAUCUUUGACAACUGAAUAUUGACGGGCAUUAUAAACACAAGUAUAUAAGCGCGUAGAAAGUAGCGUCUGCAAGCGGCCGAAGGCCGGCGGAAAGGGGCACCGGGUCAAAUACGGGGCCAAACAAGCGGGUCGGAAGCCGUAAAAAAUGUGUUUGUGUGAGAAGUAGAUUUUAUGGUCAAGCUACUAAGGGCGUGUGUGUGGAUGCCUAGGCGCAAUUAGGCGAAGAAGGACGUGAUCAGCUGCGAUAAGCUUCGGGAAGCCGCUAAUAGGCUAUGAUCCGGAGAUUUCCGAAUGGGGAAACCCGG